AAUGGGCGCGAUGAGGAUAAAAAGCUCCCUCUUCUGAAUAUGAUUCGUUGAGGAUUCACUGCUGGCAGAAUCGAACCUAAUUUACUCUAUUGCCACCACUGAGCGC
Nymphaea colorata (pocket water lily) is the source of this 106-nucleotide small nucleolar RNA. RefSeq annotates it as small nucleolar RNA R30/Z108. The transcript has a single exon. The record is from RefSeq and is a predicted model, not a curated record. Lineage: Eukaryota; Viridiplantae; Streptophyta; Magnoliopsida; Nymphaeales; Nymphaeaceae.